AUGAACGCUGGCGGCGUGCCUAAUACAUGCAAGUCGAGCGAACGGACGAGAAGCUUGCUUCUCUGAUGUUAGCGGCGGACGGGAGAGUAACACGUGGAUAACCUACCUAUAAUACUGGGGUGACUACGGGAAACCGUAUCUAAUACCGGAUAAUAUUUUGAACCGCAUGGAUCAAGAGUAAAAGACGGCCUUGCUGUCACUUAUAGAUGGAUCCGGGUUGCAUUAGCUAGUUGGUAAGGUAACGGCCCACCAAGGCAACGAUGCGUAGCCGGCCUGAGAGGGUGAUCAGCCACACUGGAACUGAGACACGGUCCAGACUCCUACGGGAGGCAGCAGUGGGGAAUCUUGCACAAUGGGCGCAAGCCUGACGGAGCAAUGCCGCGUGGGUGAAGAAGGUCUUCGGAUUGUAAAACCCUGUUAUUGGGGAAGAAAAGCUGUGUAUUAAUCUGUGGAUGUCUUGACGGUACCUAAACAAAAAGCCACGGCUAACUUCGUG
Molecule: ribosomal RNA, 496 nt
Filed under: uncultured bacterium
Lineage: Bacteria
Description: partial 16S ribosomal RNA
Rfam family: Bacterial small subunit ribosomal RNA
Source: RNAcentral